UACGAAGGGUGCGAGCGUUGUCCGGAAUCACUGGGCGUAAAGGGCGCGUAGGCGGCGCGGGAAGUCCGUGGUGAAAGCCCGAGGCUCAACUUCGGGUCGGCCAUGGAUACUCCCUGGGCUUGAGCACUGUAGAGGCAGGUGGAAUUCCGGGGUGUAGCGGUGGAAUGCGUAGAGAUCCGGAAGAACACCGGUGGCGAAGGCGGCCUGCUGGGCAGUAGCUGGACGCUGAGGCGCGACAGCGUGGGGGAGCAAACAGG
This 257-nucleotide ribosomal RNA is filed under the name uncultured bacterium. RNAcentral describes it as "partial 16S ribosomal RNA". It matches the Rfam family "Bacterial small subunit ribosomal RNA", at positions 524 to 776 of the family's 1533-position model. The record is from RNAcentral.